Molecule: small nucleolar RNA, 162 nt
Organism: Macrosteles quadrilineatus (aster leafhopper)
Lineage: Eukaryota; Metazoa; Arthropoda; Insecta; Hemiptera; Cicadellidae
Product: small nucleolar RNA SNORA53
Exons: 1
Source: RefSeq, a predicted model, not a curated record
UGCACACUCCUUAGAUCUGCCUUCGGGACUGUUUCAGUCCGCUGACGCGUUGUUGGUUAUCGAAGGUAAAUGAGUCAUUGGUGUGCUACAUCAGUAUACCUCCUUGAUGGAACCUUUACUGCCUGACCAAUGUCUUGCGGUCUGUUCUGUUGAGGGGACAUU